Long non-coding RNA from Ictidomys tridecemlineatus (thirteen-lined ground squirrel), 1622 nucleotides. The record is from Ensembl. NCBI's taxonomy places the organism in Eukaryota, Metazoa, Chordata, Mammalia, Rodentia, Sciuridae.
GAACUGCUGAUAGUAAAAGGCUGUGUCAAGCUGACUGUGAGUUCAACCUACUGGAGCACUGCCACCACUAUGGGGUUUCUGAUUGAACUUUCCUCUCUUUAUUGCUGCUGAAACCUUUCAGCAUGGAUCAGUAUGGAGCUCUGACAUGCUGUUUUGAUUACAUCUCAGCUCAUCCAUUUAAGAAGCCUGAAAAGUUGUUUCAGCAGAUUUCCUGCAGGGUGUCACACUCUGUAUUUGCAGAAAAGUUGUUCAAGUUUCAAGACUGGGGAAUACUGAUAGCAUCAGACAUGGAAGUUCUUUGAAGAAUCUCUAAGGAUCACUAGUCGUUUUGGAAUUAGAAAUCCUUUGAAACUCUAUCCAGAAAAGUGCACAUGGAAUUUUAUAGACAUGAAGGAUUCACCCCAGAUGAAGAAUCCCUGAAAGAAAAAUAAACCCUUUCCUGUGUCUCACAUUCUCACUUCCUAGAGACCGCCAGAACACACCGGUUGUUACCCUGAAAAACAGUAACUGAAUUUUGUUUCCAUUAAAAAAUCAUCUCAGAAUGGGAAGGGAGUCCAUGAAGUAUAAAAGCAUAAGAAGAAAAAAAAAGACAUAGAAAAAAGCCAAUGGAUCUUGCUUCAUGAAAUAAAAGAUUGUUCGUCAAAGAACAUCAUAAACAAGAUUGAGAAGAAAACAAGAAAUCUGGGGGAAAUGAUUACAGCAUUAAUAUAAACAUGAAUUUUUUAAAUCAAUGAGAAAAACAGUAAAAAAAAUGUGAAAAAUGGUCAAAAAUAAGUGAAAAUACCAUCUUUUUCUUACAGCAAUUAUGGAGUAAUUGCUAUGUGUCAUAAACAGAAGAUUUUGGGGGCAAACACCCCAUCUUCAAGAACUUCAUUAACAGUAAAUGAAACAUAAAUAACCAAUUAACAAAUGAAAAAUGCCUAGUUUCUCUAUCAAAGAAAUGCACAAAACCAAAAUAGUUAAAACAUUUUGAAAGAUUGUUAACAGAGAUAAAAUACUGAAUAUUAUUGAGGAGAUGAACAUUUGCUUUUAUCUACUUCAGGUAGAUGUUUAUGUAGAAAGUUUUUCUGGAAUUAUAUAGGCAAGAUGUAUUAAGAACUUUAAAAAGUGGAUGCUUGCUAAGGUUUGGAUAUGAGGUGGCCCCCAGAAGCUGUUCAUGCAGAAAAUGAUUAGAUUAUGAGAGUGUUACCUGAUCAGUCCUUCCUAGUUUGAAUGGACUGAAUGGGUGGUAACUCCAGGCAAGUGGGGUGAACCUGGAGGAGGUGGGUUAAUGUGGAUGAGCCCUGGAAACAUGCAUCUUCCCUGCUCACCCUCCCCUCUUUCUCCUUUUCCUGAUCCUGUCAUGAGCUAAGUAGCUUUCCUCUUUGGGGCCCCUACCCUAUAAUGUGCUGCUCACCUUGGACCCAGAACAAUGGAGUUGGCCAUUUAUGGACAAAGACCUCUGAACCUGUGAGCUGCAAAUAAGCUUUCCCUCCUCUAAGUUGUUGUCAUAUAUUUUCGUCACAGAGAUGCAAAAGCUUAUGAAAACGAUACUCCUUGAAUUAUUUAUUCCUCUUCUAAGAUCUCUUUUAAAAAUGCAAUUAAAAAUUCAAAUACUUCCAUAAAAAUUUUUAUCUCAAAAU